GCCGGGAUAGCUCAGGGGUAGAGCGCAUCCUUGGUAAGGAUGAGGUCGUGAGUUCAAAUCUCAUUCCUGGCUCGA
RNAcentral lists this transfer RNA (75 nucleotides) under Prolixibacteraceae bacterium JC049. Its description in RNAcentral is "tRNA-Thr". It matches the Rfam family "tRNA". Rfam says of the family: Transfer RNA (tRNA) molecules are approximately 80 nucleotides in length. Their secondary structure includes four short double-helical elements and three loops (D, anti-codon, and T loops). Further hydrogen bonds mediate the characteristic L-shaped molecular structure. tRNAs have two regions of fundamental functional importance: the anti-codon, which is responsible for specific mRNA codon recognition, and the 3' end, to which the tRNAs corresponding amino acid is attached (by aminoacyl-tRNA synthetases). tRNAs cope with the degeneracy of the genetic code in two manners: having more than one tRNA (with a specific anti-codon) for a particular amino acid; and 'wobble' base-pairing, i.e. permitting non-standard base-pairing at the 3rd anti-codon position. The record is from RNAcentral. Lineage: Bacteria; Pseudomonadati; Bacteroidota; Bacteroidia; Marinilabiliales; Prolixibacteraceae.